RNAcentral lists this ribosomal RNA (437 nucleotides) under uncultured bacterium. Its description in RNAcentral is "partial 16S ribosomal RNA". It matches the Rfam family "Bacterial small subunit ribosomal RNA", at positions 29 to 507 of the family's 1533-position model. The record is from RNAcentral.
AGCGAACGCUGGCGGCAGGCUUAACACAUGCAAGUCGAGCGGGCAUCCUUGUGGUGUCCGCGGCAGACGGGUGAGUAACGCGUGGGAACGUGCCCUUCGGUUCGGAAUAACUCAGGGAAACUUGAGCUAAUACCGGAUACGUGCGAGAGCAGAAAGGUUUAUCUGCCGAAGGAUCGGCCCGCGUCUGAUUAGCUAGUUGGUGAGGUUAUGGCUCACCAAGGCGACGAUCAGUAGCUGGUCUGAGAGGAUGAUCAGCCACACUGGGACUGAGACACGGCCCAGACUCCUACGGGAGGCAGCAGUGGGGAAUAUUGGACAAUGGGGGCAACCCUGAUCCAGCCAGGCCGCGUGAGUGAUGACGGCCUUAGGGUUGUAAAGCUCUUUUCUUCGGGACGAUAAUGACGGUACCGGAGGAAUAAGCCCCGGCUAACUUCGUG